Molecule: ribosomal RNA, 407 nt
Filed under: uncultured bacterium
Lineage: Bacteria
Description: partial 16S ribosomal RNA
Rfam family: Bacterial small subunit ribosomal RNA
Source: RNAcentral
AUUGAACGCUGGCGGCAGGCCUAACACAUGCAAGUCGAGCGGAGCGGCGGACGGGUGAGUAAUGCCUAGGAAUCUGCCUGGUAGUGGUGGAUCACGUCCGGAAACGGGCGCUAAUACCGCAUACUAUCAGAUGAGCCUAGGUCGGAUGAGCUAGUUGGGGGGGUAAAGGCCUACCAAGGCGACGAUCCGUAACUGGUCUGAGAGGAUGAGCAGUCACACGGGAACUGAGACACGGUGCAGACGCCUACGGGAGGCAGCAGGGGGGAAUAUUGGACAAUGGGCGAAAGCCUGAUCCAGCCAUGCCGCGUGUGUGAAGAAGGUCUUCGGAUUGUAAAGCACUUGAAGUUGGGAGGCGGUACCAACAGAAUAAGCACCGGCUAACUUCGUGCCAGCCGCCGCGGUAAUAC